CUCAAAAAAAAUUCAUCUCUUCCUCUCCUCUCCGGGCAGCCGCCACCCUCUCUCCCCACCAUAUUUUUUUCCGGCGAAAGCCACUGGAGGCAGUCGCCUCUCCUCCUCCCCGUCUCCCUCUCCGGCGCCCUCUCUCUCCCUUCGCACUUUCUCAUUUAUCUCCCCUUGCCCCUAUCUCUUCUUCUCCUCCUUUUCAGGCGAAGGAAGCUGGACAGCAACUCCAGUGAGCAGCCAGCGUAGCAACCAGCAGCAGCGAGGAGGAGGAAGCCAGCAACCACCAGCAGCAGCAGCGAACACCUCCUCCACCGGCACCAGCAGCUCCGGUGACCACAGCCAGGCGUGGCAGACAGCAGCAGCCAGCGAAAGCCAGCUCCCACUCCGGCCCUUUUUUCUUUCUCCGGCGAGCAACAGAACCAGCAGCAGCAGCUCAAGGCGAGAAUUCCGGUCAGCAGCUAUUGCACCGCUAGACAGGGCAGGUUUAGAGGAAAAGCUUUGAGUUUUGAUUUGUUAAAAAAUAUUGGGUCUUAUCAGAUCCAUCCAGGGUUUGAACUUAAAGGUUCAAGACAUGAAGAGUCGCCAUGGCAGUGCAAUAGACGAAUUGAUUUAAUUUAUCUUUUGUAUAUUAUUUAUUCUUUUAUUGUUUUGUAAUAAUUUGUAAACUCUAACUCUAUAUAUGUGAUAUAACUUGGGGAUCGCCUAAGGGGAGGUGGAUAUACGUGCUAAUUGUCUAUUUCCAUUUUUAGUUUAGUUCAUUCUUGUUAUGUGUGAUUGCUACGCAUAUAUUAUAAUUAUGUCGGAAUCCCUUAAAUAAUCCAACUUAAAAUCAAUUGUUUAUUUGUGUUUGUAUAUUUUU
Molecule: long non-coding RNA, 853 nt
Organism: Solanum tuberosum (potato)
Lineage: Eukaryota; Viridiplantae; Streptophyta; Magnoliopsida; Solanales; Solanaceae
Exons: 2
Source: RefSeq, a predicted model, not a curated record